Molecule: long non-coding RNA, 991 nt
Organism: Raphanus sativus (radish)
Lineage: Eukaryota; Viridiplantae; Streptophyta; Magnoliopsida; Brassicales; Brassicaceae
Exons: 4
Source: RefSeq, a predicted model, not a curated record
CUCAUGACGAGAUUGUUCUUUCAUCUUCUCCUUCAUGAUACGAAUGAUAUCAGUUACAGAAUAUUCCACUUAAAACCUUCCAGUAAUCCAUCACCCACAAUUUAUAAUCAAUGCGAGUCUUAAUUUCCAAGGCGGUGGAGAUUGACUAUAAAACGGUAAUGUCCGCCAUGGUGAUGCCCGCAAGCUCCAUCACUUGGUUCAUCACAACUGAUUUGGAUGUCAGAGAAAUGAACAGGGUUUGGUUGCGGACGAUGACAACAAGAAAGUCUCGGAAGUAACAUAGAUUCUGGUUAAGCGAUUGGGUCAGUUAAAAAUAAAGAAGAAAGCUAUUGUAGAAACAGAGGAAAUAAGAAAAUCCAAAAGCUAAAGCCAUGAAAAUUAUUGCUGAAAUGGAAUCUUAUUCGGAAAUAGGAAAAGUUGUUGACAUGAGCUCUUUCGGAAAUAAGGCUACACUGAUUCUGGAGUUGUUACAGCCAGAUUCUGGAGUAGAAACCCUUCCCAGAUUGUAAGAACACUGAUAAAGCAAUGAUGCUUGCUCUACUGAAAUCAGCUGCUGCAUCGAUAGCCUUUUGCUCAAUUGUUAAUCCUGGAAAGAUUGAAGAAUGUAGAAUUAGUGGCAGUUGUUUGAUUGCCAUUGAAAAGAGUAGAAGUUUGUAUUGGAAGAAAGUGCAAGAAGUAAGGAGGAGUUGUGUUAUUGGAUGAGUUUCAGAAGACAACGACGGUCAUGGAAGGUUCUGUCGUGCUUGCAAGUGCUUGGGGAAGUGAUGAGAUUGUCAAAAUGGUAAAGUACUAAACGAGUCUGAUCUGUGAUGACUUUCUGUUAACACCUAUAAAGGCCAUUUUUAUUGGAGUUGGGCUGCAGGAUGUGGAAAUUAUUGUGGUAAAAAGAUACUUUAUUUCUCUGUAUAAUACGUUAUGGAGUCAUUCCCAGAAUGUAAGAACACCCAUAAAGAUUGAAGCUAUCUCUAUAUGAUACGGCCUCCUCUCUCCC